UUAUUGAUUGUUGCUGUAGCGGAGACUCCUGAGGCCUGGAUUCGACCUUUGUCCCGACCCCUGGAGCCCUGCCUUCCCGGAAGGGCUACGGCAGGGAGGUCUCGCCCUGAGCCCAGUGAGCGAGGAGGCUGUAGUCUUCGACCCGAGGCCAACCCUGUGGGCAGAGGCUGAAUCGCUGCUGGAACCCUGGGCCAGCGUG
Hippopotamus amphibius kiboko is the source of this 199-nucleotide long non-coding RNA. RefSeq lists it as uncharacterized. The record is from RefSeq and is a predicted model, not a curated record. The transcript has 3 exons. NCBI's taxonomy places the organism in Eukaryota, Metazoa, Chordata, Mammalia, Artiodactyla, Hippopotamidae.